CCUACGGGAGGCAGCAGUGGGGAAUAUUGGACAAUGGGGGAAACCCUGAUGCAGCGACGCCGCGUGAGUGAAGAAGGAUUUCGGUAUGGAAAGCUCUAUCAGCAGGGAAGAAAAAAGACGGUAGCUGACUAAGAAGCCCCGUCUAACUACGUGCCAGCAGCCGCGGUAAUACGGAGGGGGCAAGCGUUAUCCGGAAUUACUGGGUUUAAAGGGUGCGUAGAUGGGAUGGUAAGUCAGAAGUGAAAGCCCGGGGCUUAACCCCGGGACUGCUUUUGAAACUGUCAUGCUGGAGUGGAGGAGAGGUAAGCGGAAUUCCUAGUGUAGCGGUGAAAUGCGUAGAUAUUAGGAGGAACACCAGUGGCGAAGGCGGCUUACUGGACUGUCACUGACACUGAUGCACGAAAGCGUGGGGAGCAAACAGGAUUAGAUACCCCGGUAGUC
Molecule: ribosomal RNA, 441 nt
Filed under: uncultured bacterium
Lineage: Bacteria
Description: partial 16S ribosomal RNA
Rfam family: Bacterial small subunit ribosomal RNA
Source: RNAcentral